This 511-nucleotide ribosomal RNA is filed under the name uncultured bacterium. Its description in RNAcentral is "bacterial SSU rRNA". It matches the Rfam family "Bacterial small subunit ribosomal RNA", at positions 377 to 879 of the family's 1533-position model. The record is from RNAcentral.
GAAAGCCUGAUGGAGCAACGCCGCGUGAGUGAAGAAGGUUUUCGGAUCGUAAAACUCUGUUGUAAGGGAAGAACAAGUACAGUAGUAACUGGCUGUACCUUGACGGUACCUUAUUAGAAAGUCACGGCUAACUACGUGCCAGCAGCCGCGGUAAUACGUAGGUGGCAAGCGUUGUCCGGAAUUAUUGGGCGUAAAGCGCGCGCAGGCGGUCCUUUAAGUCUGAUGUGAAAGCCCACGGCUCAACCGUGGAGGGUCAUUGGAAACUGGGGGACUUGAGUGCAGAAGAGGAAAGUGGAAUUCCAAGUGUAGCGGUGAAAUGCGUAGAGAUUUGGAGGAACACCAGUGGCGAAGGCGACUUUCUGGUCUGUAACUGACGCUGAGGCGCGAAAGCGUGGGGAGCAAACAGGAUUAGAUACCCUGGUAGUCCACGCCGUAAACGAUGAGUGCUAAGUGUUAGGGGGUUUCCGCCCCUUAGUGCUGCAGCUAACGCAUUAAGCACUCCGCCUGGGGA